UGCGUAGGUGGUUUCUUAAGUCAGAGGUGAAAGGCUACGGCUCAACCGUAGUAAGCCUUUGAAACUGGGAAACCUGAGUGCAGGAGAGGAGAGUGGAAUUCCUAUGUAGCGGCGAAAUGCGUAGAUAUUAGGAGGAACACCAGUUGCGAAGGCGGCUCUCUGGACUGUAACUGACACUGAGGCACGAAAGCGUGGGGAGCAAACA
RNAcentral lists this ribosomal RNA (205 nucleotides) under uncultured bacterium. RNAcentral's name for it is "partial 16S ribosomal RNA". It matches the Rfam family "Bacterial small subunit ribosomal RNA", at positions 568 to 774 of the family's 1533-position model. The record is from RNAcentral.